RNAcentral lists this ribosomal RNA (462 nucleotides) under uncultured bacterium. RNAcentral's name for it is "bacterial SSU rRNA". It matches the Rfam family "Bacterial small subunit ribosomal RNA", at positions 1 to 454 of the family's 1533-position model. The record is from RNAcentral.
CCCUUAGAGUUUGAUCCUGGCUCAGGAUGAACGCUAGCUACAGGCUUAACACAUGCAAGUCGAGGGGCAGCAUUUCAGUUUGCUUGCAAACUGGAGAUGGCGACCGGCGCACGGGUGAGUAACACGUAUCCAACCUGCCGAUAACUCGGGGAUAGCCUUUCGAAAGAAAGAUUAAUACCCGAUGGUAUAAUCAGACCGCAUGGUCUUGUUAUUAAAGAAUUUCGGUUAUCGAUGGGGAUGCGUUCCAUUAGGCAGUUGGUGAGGUAACGGCUCACCAAACCUUCGAUGGAUAGGGGUUCUGAGAGGAAGGUCCCCCACAUUGGAACUGAGACACGGUCCAAACUCCUACGGGAGGCAGCAGUGAGGAAUAUUGGUCAAUGGGCGCAGGCCUGAACCAGCCAAGUAGCGUGAAGGAUGACUGCCCUAUGGGUUGUAAACUUCUUUUAUAUGGGAAUAAAGUUU